RNAcentral lists this long non-coding RNA (1055 nucleotides) under Coturnix japonica (Japanese quail). Its description in RNAcentral is "lncRNA (ENSCJPG00005001477.1)". The record is from RNAcentral. Lineage: Eukaryota; Metazoa; Chordata; Aves; Galliformes; Phasianidae.
GUCUAUAUGGGGUUUAUGGGGUCCUUAUGGGGUCUAUAUGGGGUCUGUGGGGUCGUUAUGGUGUCUAUGGGGUCCUUAUGGGGUCUAUGGGGUCCUUAUGGGGUCCUGCAGCCCAAGGGGUACACGCUGGCCACCACGCAGGUAAAUAUAUGGGGUCCUUAUGGGGUCUGUGGGGUCCUUAUGGGGUCUGUGGGGUCCUUAUGGGGCCCUUAUGGGGUCUGUGGGGCCCUUAUGGGGUCUGUGGGGCCCUUAUGGGGUCUAUGGGGCCCUUAUGGGGUCUAUGGGGCCCUUAUGGGGUCCUUAUGGGGUCUAUGGGGUCCUUAUGGGGUCCUUAUGGGGUCUAUGGGGUCUGUGGGGUCCUUAUGGUGUCUAUGGGGUCCUUAUGGUGUCUAUGGGGUCCUUAUGGGGUUUAUGGGGUCUGUGGGGUCCUUAUGGGGUCUGUGGGGUCCUUAUGGGGUCUGUGGGGUCCUUAUGGGGUCCUUAUGGGGUCUAUGGGGUCCUUAUGGGGUCCUUAUGGGGUCUGUGAGGUUGUUAUGGGGUCUAUGGGGUCCUUAUGGGGUCCUUAUGGGGUCCUGCAGCCCAAGGGGUACACGCUGGCCACCACGCAGGUAAAUAUAUGGGUCUAUGGGGUCCUUAUGGGGUCUAUAUGGGGUCCUUAUGGGGUCUAUGGGGUCCUUAUGGGGUUUAUGGGGUCCUUAUGGGGUCUAUGGGGCCCUUAUGGAGUCUGUGGGGCCCUUAUGGGGUCCUGCAGCCCAAGGGGUACACGCUGGCCACCACGCAGGUGAAGACCCCGAUCCCGCACCUGCUGCGUGGGACGUUACGCGAGUACCAGCACAUUGGGCUGGACUGGCUGGUCACCAUGUACGAGAAGAAGCUCAACGGGAUCCUGGCCGAUGAAAUGGGGCUGGGCAAAACCAUCCAGACCAUCUCACUGCUCGCACACCUCGCCUGCGAGAAGGGUGAGCACACAGCGGGCAUGGAGGGUCAAUGGGGUCUGUAGGGUCAGCGGGGGUAAUGGGGGUAAUGGGGGCAAUGGGGACAUUGGGGGCAAUGGG